GAUGAACGCUGGCGGCGUGCCUAAUACAUGCAAGUCGAGCGAACAGACGAGGAGCUUGCUCCUCUGACGUUAGCGGCGGACGGGUGAGUAACACGUGGAUAACCUACCUAUAAGACUGGGAUAACUUCGGGAAACCGGAGCUAAUACCGGAUAAUAUAUUGAACCGCAUGGUUCAAUAGUGAAAGACGGUUUUGCUGUCACUUAUAGAUGGAUCCGCGCCGCAUUAGCUAGUUGGUAAGGUAACGGCUUACCAAGGCAACGAUGCGUAGCCGACCUGAGAGGGUGAUCGGCCACACUGGAACUGAGACACGGUCCAGACUCCUACGGGAGGCAGCAGUAGGGCCUCUUCCGCCCUGGUCGCCCGCCUGCCGGCGCCCCGCCGCGUGCGUGAUGAAGGUCUUCGGAUCGUAAAACUCUGUUAUUAGGGAAGACCAAAUGUGUCAGUCCCUCUGCCCGUCUUGCCGGUCCCUCCUCCGACCGCCACGGCUCCCUCCGUG
Molecule: ribosomal RNA, 497 nt
Filed under: uncultured bacterium
Lineage: Bacteria
Description: partial 16S ribosomal RNA
Rfam family: Bacterial small subunit ribosomal RNA
Source: RNAcentral